Planococcus citri (citrus mealybug) is the source of this 480-nucleotide long non-coding RNA. RefSeq lists it as uncharacterized. The transcript has 3 exons. NCBI's taxonomy places the organism in Eukaryota, Metazoa, Arthropoda, Insecta, Hemiptera, Pseudococcidae. The record is from RefSeq and is a predicted model, not a curated record.
UCACAGCGGGUAAAGGAAAGAAUCCUGAGGACACUUCGGAUGAUCCACAAAAACUAUACUAUCACUUCAUGGGAACUACCCAGUGUAAAGACUUUGUUGUAGCUGAAUUUCCAGAUCAUCCCGAGUACUAUAUAGAAUAUCACAUAAGCAACUGCGGAAAAUAUCUGAUCAUAACGCCAUCAACAGGCUGUGGUUACACUAAUUUGGUAUACUUGGUUGAUAUAAGUCAAGGAAUCAAGGCUAAACUAGAACUUAAACCAAUUAUCACAAAAAUGGAUGCAAAAUACGAGUUUGUCGCCAACAACGAACACCAAUUCAUUUUUCGGACCAAUAACACAGCCGAGAAUUUUAAAUUAAUUUCAAUCGAUAUCACAAACCUGCAGGAUCCCAAAUCAUGGAAAGAUCUUGUACCUGCACAUGAUAAAGAUGUAUUAGAUUGGGCUUUGGCAGCACAUGAUAAAUACAUGGUCUUAUGCUACA